CCCUACGGGGGGCAGCAGUGGGGAAUAUUGCACAAUGGGGGAAACCCUGAUGCAGCAACGCCGCGUGAGUGAAGAAGUAUUUCGGUAUGUAAAGCUCUAUCAGCAGGGAAGAAGAUGACGGUACCUGAUUAAGAAGCCCCGGCUAACUACGUGCCAGCAGCCGCGGUAAUACGUAGGGGGCAAGCGUUAUCCGGAUUUACUGGGUGUAAAGGGAGCGUAGACGGCAUAGCAAGUCUGGAGUGAAAGCCCGGGGCCCAACCCCGGGACUGCUUUGGAAACUGUGUAACUGGAGUACAGGAGGGGCA
Molecule: ribosomal RNA, 305 nt
Filed under: uncultured bacterium
Lineage: Bacteria
Description: bacterial SSU rRNA
Rfam family: Bacterial small subunit ribosomal RNA
Source: RNAcentral